CGCCAUCGCGUCUAGGGUUCCGGCCGUUUCCACGGUGACUGGUCCGAGAGUCGCAAUCCGCUCCGCAAGGGGCGGACACACGGAGGGAUAAAAGCCCGGGAGGU
This 104-nucleotide small RNA is filed under the name Magnetospirillum sp. UT-4. RNAcentral describes it as "Guanidine-I riboswitch aptamer". It matches the Rfam family "Guanidine-I riboswitch aptamer". From Rfam's summary of the family: This family represents a conserved RNA structure found upstream of the ykkC and yxkD genes in Bacillus subtilis and related genes in other bacteria. The function of this family is unclear although it has been suggested that it may function to switch on efflux pumps and detoxification systems in response to harmful environmental molecules. Nelson showed that this riboswitch senses and responds to guanidine and it was renamed Guanidine-I riboswitch. Lineage: Bacteria; Pseudomonadati; Pseudomonadota; Alphaproteobacteria; Rhodospirillales; Rhodospirillaceae. The record is from Rfam by way of RNAcentral.